Molecule: ribosomal RNA, 493 nt
Filed under: uncultured bacterium
Lineage: Bacteria
Description: bacterial SSU rRNA
Rfam family: Bacterial small subunit ribosomal RNA
Source: RNAcentral
ACGAGUUUGAUCAUGGCUCAGAUUGAACGCUGGCGGCAGGCUUAACACACGCAAGUCGAGCGGAGACUUCGGUCUUAGCGGCGAACGGGUGAGUAAUACCUAGGAAUCUGCCUAUUAGUGGGGGAUAACGAAUCGAAAGGUUCGCUAAUACCGCAUACGUCCUACGGGAGAAAGGGGGGGAUCUUCGGACCUCUCGCUAAUAGAUGAGCCUAGGCCGGAUUAGCUAGUUGGUAGGGUAAAGGCCUACCAAGGCGACGAUCUGUAGCUGGUCUGAGAGGAUGGCCAGCCACACUGGAACUGAGACACGGUCCAGACUCCUACGGGAGGCAGCAGUGGGGAAUAUUGGACAAUGGGGGCAACCCUGAUCCAGCCAUGCCGCGUGUGUGAAGAAGGCCUUCGGGUUGUAAAGCACUUUAAGCGAGGAGGAAGGUUUUUAGUUUAAUACACUAAAGAAUUGACGUUACUCGCAGAAUAAGCACCGGCUAACUCUGUG